GAAAUGCGAUAAGUAAUGUGAAUUGCAGAAUUCAAUGUAUCAUCGAAUCUUUGAACGCACCUUGCGCUCCUUGGUAUUCCUUGGAGCAUGCCUGUUUGAGUAUCAUGAAAUCUUCAAAGUAAAUCUUUUGUUAACUCAAUUGGUUUCUACUUUGGUAUUGGAGGUCUUUGCAGCUUCACACCUGCUCCUCUUUGUUCAUUAGCUGGAUCUCAGUGUUAUGCUUGGUUCCACUCGGCGUGAUAAGUUAUCUAUCGCUGAGGACACUGUAAAAGGUGGCCAAGGUAAAUGCAGAUGAACCGCUUCUAAUAGUCCAUUGACUUGGACAAUACUUUUAUGAUCUGAUCUCAAAUCAGGUAGGACUACCCGCUGAACUUAAGC
RNAcentral lists this unclassified non-coding RNA (378 nucleotides) under plant metagenome. RNAcentral describes it as "partial contains 5.8S ribosomal RNA, internal transcribed spacer 2, and large subunit ribosomal RNA". The stretch from base 1 to 105 matches the Rfam family "5.8S ribosomal RNA", at positions 50 to 154 of the family's 154-position model. The record is from RNAcentral.